Molecule: long non-coding RNA, 7103 nt
Organism: Anas platyrhynchos (mallard)
Lineage: Eukaryota; Metazoa; Chordata; Aves; Anseriformes; Anatidae
Source: RefSeq, a predicted model, not a curated record
AGGAAGGAAGGAAGGAAAGGCUUGGCAGGGUCCAAGUUCUGAGGGACCACUUUUCUACAGAGUACUCGAGGGGCUUGUUUUGGUAGAAGGCGGCACGGAAGGGAAAGACCACGAACACAACGAGGAGGCAGCGGCACCAGCCUGCUCCUUUAGGGCGAGCGGGGCACCCUGCGGGAAGGUGGCCGGAGCCGGUGCAGGGGGUGGCAGGGGACAUUAGGAGCGGCAGCGGGACAAACAGCGCUCAACGCGGUUAGUCCCAUCCGAAGUCACGCUUCGACAGCCGCUUUUCUUUUAGGAGCUCACGUUUCCAAGAUUUGUCUCUUCGCCGAGAUGUGGUUUUCCCCUGCGCUUCCAGGGACGCCCCUGACAAAUGUACUUUGAACAUUUGAAAGUGUCAUAAAUAUUUAUACCAAAAAUUCUUCGUUGCCUCAGAUGGCCGGAACGAAGCAAGAACAGAAAAGAGUGUAAUUCAUCGCACAACUCGUAUCAUAUGGAUGGUAACAAAUUCCCCAGGAUAAGUCUGCACCCACAUUAUCGUUUCGGAAGCUAAACGUGUUGCUUUCUAAACAAGUCGACAUGAGGGGAUUAAAUGAAACAAGCGUAUUUAGAAUUGCUCCUAUUAUUAAUUAACCGUAGUUUAGACGCGCUCAGCUGAUUUCCUUGCCGUGCACUCAGUUGCAAGAUCUGCACGGUCCUCGCUGAUGCUAAACGAGUGGAGGAAUGCACACGGGGCGACUAUUGAUCGCACAGUUACAGCUGUCCGCCGUCUUUGAGUCCCAUUUGCCCCGAAUUCUUCCCCCCACCCUCCAAAAUAAUAACGACAGGAAUAAAUCCCGCAGGCUCCUCUGUCUGAUUGCAGCGUUCCCCUUUUUGCAGCUCUGCAAAGCCCCUUCGGACCCCACCAUCGUGGAUGUGCCCGGGCCGCUGGCUCAGCCCCCCAAAGGCAGGGGGAGAGGGGAUGCCCACGAUCCCCGGCCGGCUGCGGGAGGGGGCUCGGGGCCGCCCCCAGCCGGGGCAGUAAGCCCCGUUUUUUUCUUUUUCCUGCCGGUUACGAAAUCAGGCUGCGGGGAGAAGGUAGUGGGGGAUGCUCGGGUCACGCCGGCUCCCAUGCCACCGCAGCUGCGUGCCUGGCACCGGGCGAAAUCGUGACAGGGCAAGGCUUGUUUUCUCUUGGCACAGCCGCCUCCGAGUUUUUAGAAGUCGGUUGCAGCAGCAACUCUGCCGAGCAGCUUGCGAAAGCGCACUGAGUGGCUCUGAGGCUCUUCCCCGGGUCCGGGGUGCAGCCGGGGACGGUCCUUUAUUCAAUUCCCUCCCGCAGGAAAAUGCCCGCAGCUAUUAUCCAGCCCAUCUGCCCGAAAAGAAAAGCUCUGGUAAAACCGCGACCCUGAUUUUCGAGCAACAAACCGGCCGACAAAUCUGGAACAAAAUAUUUACCGAAGCUGCUUCUUGAUAGAUAAUGAAAAACUCCCAUUGGCACCUAAAAAUGGGCAUUCCGUUAGCUCUACUCUUACUGCUUUUUUUACCAGGAUGCUUGUACGAGCGAGCCCUUCAUUGCUUUCCAACACAGACACAGCUGCCGCGACACAGUUCUGAAGCUCAGAAGUCAAAAUACAAUUGACCUUAGAUAAAUAGAUUUUCUCAACAGCACCGGUUUUAUUAAGUCUUGAAAUUAAGUCCGGUGACUACCUGGCCAUCCUAAAAUUGCUCUGAGAUGUGGAUCUGCGCCGUUUCUAACUGCAGUGUCAUCAGAAAUCCAGGCACUCAACUUGUAUUUAUUUCCGUGCUUUGAACGCUAACAUUAGUAUUUCUUCAGGGGGGAAACACUAUGGCACAAAUUCAAAUGAUAGAUCGGGAAAAUGACUCUAAAAUAACAUAGGAAAUGGAAAUAAAGAUGAGUACGAUUUUACCAUUUAAAGAUUAAAUUGGGCUUGUGCUGUUGAAUUGAAAUACAAAGAUGGUUAAAAUUGUGUCUUCACUGGAGUGAAAUCAGAGUGAAGGCAUGAGAUCUGUAAUACGAAGGCCACAGCUUGUAAAAAUCAACAGGUGAAAUCUAAUUAUAUUGCUUUGCAGAGCUCAGUAUUCACCAUUUGUGUUGAUUCUCUCAUCGUAAUUCAUUUUAGAGCAGUAGAUAGCCACUGAAUUGUUUUCUUAGUGGUUUGUUUUUUUCCUUGCAUCUCAGAUUUGCCCCUGCUUUGAAUACAUUCUCAAGUCUGAACCACACUGCUCAGGUGCAAAAUAUACCUUGCAUGACCAAGGUGCAGAUCAAUUUUUCAAGUGGCUUGUGAGUAGAAAAUACGGGGCGGGGAUAAGGCAUGCCACUGCAAUGUGAUCCAGUCCUUUGAGGAAAUCAUUAAAUUUGAAGCUAUUGCUGUAAAAUGGAGCUUAGUCUAACAUCAGGCUUUGUGUCUUAUCAGAGAGGAAAAACUAUCACUCCUUGUUGAGGAAUGAAACGUUUGGAUGCUUUGUCAUCACUGUCACCUACGAGACCACUAGAACAUUUUACAGCUUUAAGAAGUCAGUUUCUUUCUGGGCAUUCAAGCACAUGUAACAAAAGGUUUGCUUUUUACUGUGAUGGCAAAAAUGUUUACCCAUCUUUUAUAUGUUUAAUAUUAUUUAUUUGUGUUCAUCAUUUAACAUUAUUUGUGUUAUCACUCAGGGGAAGUGAUAGCAUAUUGUCCACUUGAUGCCCUGGAUAUAAAUGAAAAUAGAGCUUAUGUAUUUUUUCUAUUAACUUUUCUAUUAGUUUCUAAUGCAACUAAUGUUUCAGUGCUGAAGAAGUGAUUUCUUGGGUCACCGAGAUGAGAAGGCCAUAAUGAGGUCUUGCUAAGACAGCAACUGCUGUGAAGCCAUUUGAACCUUUCAGUUCCUCUUCCAGUGAAGAUGAUUAACUCUUGCUGGCCACGUCAACUCUGUCAUCAGGACUGCCGCUGAUUCAACCAAAAUUCUGGUCCUUUUACCAAGAUGGACAUUUCAUUUCCCUUGUGAGGAAGCCUGGAAGAAGGACAGAGGACGGUCUGACCCCUCUCCUUGUAGUCAACCCAGACAUGAGACAAUCUGAACUGCGAUCCAGGGACUCAUUCCCUGCUGCAGCUCACAAAAGCAGUACACGUGCAUUGAAAUAGAGGAGGCAACUGCGUGUCUCCAAUGGCUAAGAAACAGCCUGAGGUCCUUGGGGGCUGCGUGCAGUGCAUGCAUGCAAAGGAUGCAUUUUUGUUCAUCCACUUUUGGUCAUUCUGUUGGGGUGCUGGAGCCCUUGGGAAGGAAGGCUGCAGGACACAAACUGCCCGAGAGAUUCAUUCAGACAAUAGCUCCCUCCCAGGGGCAAGAUGGGGGAGCAGGACACAAGAAAGAGGCUCCAGGUUUGAAUCAAUAUUUUUCUGGACUGGAUCUUGCCUGCUGCACACAUGUUAAAUUUUACAUAGGUACUACUUGUUUCUACUAAUCAGUCUCACAAAAACAUUUUAUUAGAAUAAAUGACUGGCAGAAUGCAAAACCUGUAGGGCUUACAUGAAUAAAAAAACAUAUAUAUUUUUCAAAUAUAUAUAUUUUAUUAACUAAAGAAGAGUUUUAUAAAAACACUGAUCUGCCACAGUUUAGUGAAAAUAUAGAUGAAAUUGGUAGCUAAAGCUACUGGUAAACAUCAUUUAUGGAGCGCAGGCUUAAGAAUAUAUUUUCCAAAAUGAAUAAACAAAAUGCCAGUUGUUUAUUAAAAAUACUAAUUCAAUAAUAAUAAUAAUAAAAGUUUUAAGUUUAUUUUGUGCAUUAGCAAAAUAACAUUGGCUGUACUUAAGAUCUGUAUAGAAGAAUGACACAGGUCAUUGUGAAAUCUUAAAAGUCUUACUGAACAGUGAAACCACUGCAGUACAUGCUGAACUACUUAAGACAGACAUGAAUUGUCCAAACAAAAUAAUUUGAUACUGGCUGUUUUCCACAUUUUAAUUAGCAAGAACAGAUGGCUGUUGCAUAAUCCUAUUUAAUGUCUGUGCUUGGUAUCUCCCAAAUAGCUCAGUGAUUAAGUUCAUACCUUAGUGUGGCUAAAUGCAUUAGCUGAAAGCAAACCACUAAGAUUCACUUUCUGACAUGGGCAUAAUGCAAGCGUGUUUCCUUCCACUAACCUGAGAGAAAAGCCUCUAUUAACUCAUAGUCUGUUGGUUGUGAAGAUGCCCAGAGGUAUUUUGUAUAAAUGCAUAUUGAUGUCCCAUGCGAGUUUUAACUCCCCAGCAGAGUUUCUUUGGUAACUGAGAUCAGAGUGCCCCCAUUAUAUAAUCACCACUCUCAACACAUGCAGCCUAAUCAUGCAAUUGAUCACUCAUUUAGAGUUUGGGAAUUCUUUGGACAGCUCUGUGCAGCUAACCCUUGCUGUGCAAUGGGCUGUGUGGGCCUGGCAGCUACCAGAGGUGGCAUUGUACAGGGGCAAAGAAGGGAGGGUAGGGAAGAUGUUGAGCUCUGCUGCCCACCUGUCUGUCACACAGGAUCCUGAGGCACAGCAAGGCUGUGAGUAUCUCUCCUCCUCCUCGUCAUUGCUGCUGCUGUGUUUGACUGCUAUUUACCACAAAGCGAUGAGUUCUAUUAAUUAUUAUUGAUAACAAGCUACACUCACAUGUGUAUGCAACAUGAAAAAAAGUAAACUCUCAUCAUUUAAGACUUCUGGUAUCACAGACAGCAAAGUUCUACCCUGCAUACCUAGUGCUACCUUUUUUUCUUUCCCUUUUCCUUCUGCUGAUUUCAUUGAGGUUAUAAGAUACAAGUUAUAUAGUUGGCAAUUCACUCCUGCUUCUUUAUUUGAGUCUUAAUGUUCAGGGACUACUUUUUCCUAUGUUCAUGUAAAAUGUGGUGCUAUAAGUGUGUGCUUUACCACCUGAGGAUGUAUAUUUUAAGAUGCUUGACUGUUUCUUCAUAUGAGAAAAUAAAAUUGCUAGUUGCACAGCAAGGGUAUGAGUAGUUUGUGAUAGAAAACUUCUGUACACUUGGACAAAUUAAAAGUUGACUAUCAAUACAUAUGUAUAUAUAUAUUUGAAAACUUACAGUAGAAAUUAACAUGUGCUAUGGUAAAAAGCAAUUCUAAGUGGUUACACAAGAUUUUAAGUUUUACUAUCCCAACUCAAUUGCUCUCACUUAAAAAAUAAACAAACAAAUGAACAACAAAACAGAAAAAAAACCCACACCCUAAUUAUGAUAUAUGUUAUCUCUGUGGCAAUAUAUUUUGUUACACGAGUCUUGAACAUCUAUUGUGUAGCUUUCUGUGCAUUUUAAUAAAAUUAAAAAAAAAUUAAAGAUAGGAUACAUAUCUCUAUUUGUUGUGGUAUUGUAUUGGAUGACAGAAUGUAUGUAUCUCAGUGAGGUGUGUACAUAUAUUUUUAUAAGGAAAUGGUAGUGUAUAGCUGGUGUGAAAUGGCAGGUUUGCCUGAAAGUCAAAGGAAUUCCUUCUAUGACUGGCAAAUUUACAAGGAACUUGUUUAAUGUCUUUCCCUACUGCAAUCUGCAAGUCCUGAUUUCAUAGUGAUAAAUACCAAUUCAUUUUUGCAUGGAAUUUUUGGCAUCAUCUCUCCACCUGGAAUUUACUGUAUGAAAACUCCACAUAUUGACACUGUGACUCAUCUUUCUUAUUUGUAUGAUUCUGUCUUAUUUUCAGAUGAAAUAAUAGUCUCAUACGUGAGGCCUCGGUGGAAGCACAUUGUGGAACAACAGAUAUAUAAUCUCAUAUUUGGUUUUAUAUAAAGAAGUAAUUUUAAUUAAUAUAAUUAUUAAAGUUUAGCAAAAAGAGAAAACAUCAAUAUGGUUCUGUGUCAGCACUGGCAUCAUUUACCGAACCAAGACCACAAAAAAACUCACCAAAGUUUUUUUGUCAUUGCAUUGUAAAUUAAGGACAGCCUAUUUCUUUCUGAAGUCCAGCAACAGUAACUGUUGUAUAAAUGAUAAACAGAACGGAACUUUUAACAAGUCCAAGAGGCCUUUUUCAUGUUCUCAAGACAUUUUCUCUGCAAUGCCUUUGUCUUUACCUGUAAAAUGUUGCUACUGCAAGCUUCACUAAGUCUGGCUUUCACUCAGGAGGCAGAAAGAAACACAACUCAAGCCCAAGCAAAUGUUUAUGGACAGGACUUGAGAUAGACGUGUCAUAAAAAAGAUAUCUCUCAAAUCCUAAAGCAGAUUUCAUGGUCAGUAUUCACCAGUCCUUCCUACCACAGACCUCCUGCUGGAUAUUAAAGAGACUUCAAUGACAGAAAACAUCUGUACAUGUUAUUGUCAGGGUGUAUAUUAGAAUACAUCUAGAAUUAAUUUAAUACUCCAAUGAAAAGGUGAAGAAGCAGUACUACAGACAAUGUAAUAUACUAUUACCACGGGGAAAGGUUAUAUAUAUAUAUAUAUAUAUAUAUAUAUAUAUAUAUAUAUAUAUAACGUCUUUAUGCAGUUCUGUUUGUAUGUUUUAUUUCAGGCAAACUCCAUGUAGAAAUGUAUAAAAAGCCCCCUUAUUCCAUCCUUGUCCAACAACUAUAAGAAAAAAAAAAAGUGUUCAAGGAAGUUAGAUUCAUUAUGGGGUAUUCUGUGCUUGCUAGUGAUUUUUUUUUUUUUAAUGUUCAUUUAGAAUAAAGGCAUGAAAAUAAAUGAUAAAGUUCUUUUCUUUAUACUUUUAUGAAGUCCUUAUGAAAGUAAAAAGUUUUUGAUUCCUCCAAGCAACCACAAGUGGCUAAUCUGGGAUGCUUGAUAUCCAGCACAGAGAAAGGAAUCUUAUUUGAAAUCAGGCCAUUCUUAACCUCCAUUUCUACUUCCUCCAUUACUCCACUCCCAAAGACAGUUUAUGUGUUAAGCUCUGCAUCACCAAGCGAAGCAAAGUAUUUCCUACAGACAUGGGUGUACGUGGAGAGUCCUUAGGAACUCAAGUGUCCCUCACAUUGAAUGCUUUUUCUCUGUCGGCCUGGCUUGGAAAUAAAAGUCAAAACAUUCUCUCAUGAGAAUCAAUGGCAAAUUCAAGAGAACACAGAAAAUAAAAACAUAGUCCAAGUAAUGAAUGGAAUAAUUUUCAUUGUGUUUGGUUUGGUGUAUGGACUCAGUAAAUCUCACUUAUAUAAAUGUGUUUUGAAGUUAAUUAUCUACUAAAAUUUCCA